GGUAGAGUUCCGCAAUGGGCGAAAGCCUGACGGAGCAAUACCCCGUGAGGGACGAAGGCUUUUGGGUCGUAAACCUCUUUUCCCUGAGAAGAAGAUCUGACGGUAUCAGGGGAAUCAGCAUCGGCUAACUUCGUGCCAGCAGCCGCGGUAAUACGAGGGAUGCAAGCGUUAUCCGGAAUUAUUGGGCGUAAAGCGUCCGCAGGUGGCUCUGUAAGUCUGUCGUUAAAGAAUGGGGCUCAACCCCAUACAGGCGAUGGAAACUACAAGGCUAGAGUUUGGUAGGGGUCACGGGAAUUCCUAGUGUAGCGGUGAAAUGCGUAGAUAUUAGGAAGAACACCAGCGGCGAAAGCGCGUGACUGGGCCAGUACUGACACUCAUGGACGAAAGCUAGGGGAGCGAAAGGGAUUAGAUACCCCUGUAGUCCUAGCCGUAAACGAUGAUAACUAGGUGUUGCCCGUAUCGACCCGGGCAGUGCCGUAGCCAACGCGUUAAGUUAUCCC
This 500-nucleotide ribosomal RNA is filed under the name uncultured cyanobacterium. Its description in RNAcentral is "bacterial SSU rRNA". It matches the Rfam family "Bacterial small subunit ribosomal RNA", at positions 357 to 871 of the family's 1533-position model. Lineage: Bacteria; Bacillati; Cyanobacteriota. The record is from RNAcentral.